GGGGUGCUCGUCUAAUGGAUAAGACAACCGCCUUCUGAGCGGACAAUUGGGGUUCGAUUCCCUAGCACCCUG
Molecule: transfer RNA, 72 nt
Filed under: Porticoccaceae bacterium
Lineage: Bacteria; Pseudomonadati; Pseudomonadota; Gammaproteobacteria; Cellvibrionales; Porticoccaceae
Description: tRNA-Arg
Rfam family: tRNA
About the family: Transfer RNA (tRNA) molecules are approximately 80 nucleotides in length. Their secondary structure includes four short double-helical elements and three loops (D, anti-codon, and T loops). Further hydrogen bonds mediate the characteristic L-shaped molecular structure. tRNAs have two regions of fundamental functional importance: the anti-codon, which is responsible for specific mRNA codon recognition, and the 3' end, to which the tRNAs corresponding amino acid is attached (by aminoacyl-tRNA synthetases). tRNAs cope with the degeneracy of the genetic code in two manners: having more than one tRNA (with a specific anti-codon) for a particular amino acid; and 'wobble' base-pairing, i.e. permitting non-standard base-pairing at the 3rd anti-codon position.
Source: RNAcentral